GGGUGAAGCAGAGGCGGGCAUGACCAUCUCCAGAUCAGGCACAGCACUGUCACCCAUGUUGAUAUUGUUGGUACAGGCUACAGUACAGGAGUGAGUGUCUGUCUGCCUGCAUGUGGUACUUAGUGCUGGGCUCCUUCAGGAACCAGGAGAGAGAAUGAAGCCUCUCAAGGCCUGGAGUGUGCUCAGUAAAGAAUCCAGCUGUGGUCCCUUGCUCUGUGUCUGACUAAAUGCUGGUUCAUCUGUUGCAGUGUCACUGUGCCGUGCCCAAGAUCCAAGGCCACACUCUUCACAGAGAGCCUCGGGCUGGGUUCUCACCUGUGCUUUCGUGCUCUGGACUGCGAGUGCACCCAGGGUUCUUCCAUCCCGACACAGCUCUGUGCCUUCAGCCCCGGGUCCUCAGCGGGGACACUCGAGCCUCUGCUCUCACAAUGCCCUGUUUGGGUUUUUAUCAGCCCUGUCUGCAUUGGAGCCUCACUGCAGUGUUCCUGGUGGCUCCUUUAACUCCUGCUGCUGCCCAUGGGGUUUCCAGAGCCUCCACUUCCAGCUCAGUGGGAUUUCCAUUCAUGGACUUGCUGUUCCUGUGUGGGCCAGUGUCAUGUGGCCAUCAGGAAGUCUGCACACCCAACACUUACUGUGCCAGAAACUCUGGAGGCACCCAGCACCUCACAGCUGUUCAGGUUGUGGCAGGGCCUCUGCUCAAGUUGGAUGUGGAAAUAAAAGCAACCCUGUGUGAAA
Molecule: long non-coding RNA, 735 nt
Filed under: Rattus norvegicus (Norway rat)
Lineage: Eukaryota; Metazoa; Chordata; Mammalia; Rodentia; Muridae
Description: long non-coding RNA NONRATT007792
Source: RNAcentral